UGAGGGAAUCUUCCACAAUGGACGCAAGUCUGAUGGAGCAACGCCGCGUGAGUGAAGAAGGCUUUCGGGUCGUAAAAACUCUGUUAUUGAAGAAGAACGUGUGUGACAGUAACUGGUCAUGCAGUGACGGUAUUCAAUCAGAAAGUCACGGCUAACUACGUGCCAGCAGCCGCGGUAAUACGUAGGUGGCAAGCGUUGUCCGGAUUUAUUGGGCGUAAAGCGAGUGCAGGCGGUCUUUUAAGUCUGAUGUGAAAAGCCUUCGGCUUAACCGAAGA
This 275-nucleotide ribosomal RNA is filed under the name uncultured bacterium. Its description in RNAcentral is "partial 16S ribosomal RNA". It matches the Rfam family "Bacterial small subunit ribosomal RNA", at positions 354 to 619 of the family's 1533-position model. The record is from RNAcentral.